GGCAGUAUAGCUCAGUGGUAAAGUACUGGACUCCCGAUCGGGAGGUCUUAGGUUCGAAUCCCACCACGGGCU
This 72-nucleotide transfer RNA is filed under the name Trialeurodes vaporariorum (greenhouse whitefly). RNAcentral's name for it is "tRNA-Gly for anticodon CCC". Lineage: Eukaryota; Metazoa; Arthropoda; Insecta; Hemiptera; Aleyrodidae. The record is from RNAcentral.